Molecule: ribosomal RNA, 207 nt
Filed under: uncultured bacterium
Lineage: Bacteria
Description: partial 16S ribosomal RNA
Rfam family: Bacterial small subunit ribosomal RNA
Source: RNAcentral
CAUGUAGGCGGACUGUUAAGUCUGGUGUGAAAGCCCGGGGCUCAACCCCGGAAGUGCAUUGGAUACUGGCAGUCUUGAGUAUGGGAGAGGAAAGUGGAAUUCCGAGUGUAGGAGUGAAAUCCGUAGAUAUUCGGAGGAACACCAGUGGCGAAGGCGGCUUUCUGGACCAAUACUGACGCUGAGAUGCGAAAGCGUGGGGAGCAAACA